Molecule: non-coding RNA, 2429 nt
Organism: Lolium perenne
Lineage: Eukaryota; Viridiplantae; Streptophyta; Magnoliopsida; Poales; Poaceae
Source: RefSeq, a predicted model, not a curated record
CACGCAAUAUAUGUCAUCUUUACUAUAUAUUUUAAAGGAUAAAAAUCACUUGACUGCAGAUUUUUUUUAUCUUUGCUGCAAUGUUUCUACAUUUCAUUUUAAAUUGUUUUUAUUUCUUUGGUUUUUAUUCUAAUGAAGUGCUCGCACUGUGUAUUUUAGAGGUGCAAACGGGAGAACAAUAAGAAGUCUCUUCUAUAAUUAUAGAAUAGAAUGUUUCUUUAUGAUGUAAGAACUUGAUUACUAUCUGUAUCUUGUGUUGUACAACUUCUUACAUUAUUUUUCUCCUCAUUUGUUCGUAAAGUAUUUUGUAUGUAUUGUUUGCACAUAAUAUGCAACUACACAGAUAUUGCCACAUUUCUUGCCGAAAUUGGAGUCCCGCCUAUUCAAUUAAUUAUGUCGUACACUAAACUUAUUUCUCCUUUUCCUUCUUGCAGUGCCAUGCUUCAAUACUUCGCUCAUGUUUUUUACGCUGAAACAAUAGGAGAAAAGAAUGUAAAUACUUAUAGCUAUACAGAAAAGAAAAAGAAAAACAAGAUUAGAGAUUGAGUUCUACCUAGCCUUUGAGGGACUGAGCUUUCUUUUUUGCUUGCUAUGUGGACAACCAAGGCAAGAUCCUAUUUUAGUUGUCCCUUCCAAAAAAUAAUUGAAGGUGUUUCUCCACUGAAAAUCUUCCUGUUUCUUUCUGUACAAAUAUUCCAGCAUCUUAGAAUAAUAAUUUUCAUAUUGAUAUCCUUAUGUGGCAUUUGAUGAGCCAGAGUCAUUUCAUCAAAUGUGAAGUACCUUUGUUUCUUCCUGGUAAUAAUAUUACAACACUCAUGUACAGAGGAGCAGUCCCAAAAAAAAGAUAUAGGUGAGAUUUAUGUAGUGUUAUCAUUGCAAAGCUCACAUUGAUAGCUGGGCAGAUGGAAGUUCUUCCUUUGCCACAAAUUUUUGUAUUGAUCCUAUCUUGCAGAAUUAUCUAUCAAAAGAAGACUUUGUGUUUCAGCUGACAUGCAUAUACAUGUGAAUCAUCCAGAUUGCAUACCUUCAGGACUUGUUCUUUUCUUUUGCAGAACACUUUUAGGACAAGCUUACUGAUAUUUAUCAAAAGUAGGUUAUUUCAGAACGAGAGUGGUUGAUGCCAUUGUUUUUGACUCAGGAUUUGCAGCUUCUGUCAUUAGCGAGAGAGGAUAGUUGAUAAUGUUGGGGGUUCUGUGCUGUUGCAUACUAGGACAACCAUCUAAUUGUGGAUGACAAAUGAAGCAUCGGGAAAAUUUGUCUGCCACACAAUAGAAGGUGAGUACUACAUGAUUGAUCGAGCGCUAAGUUUUCUAUAUAGUAUUGAAUGAGCAUAUGACCAAUUAAGUGUAAAUUAUAACGUGAUACUUUUAAUUUCCCCUGUAGUCUCGAAUGGGCAUAUGAUCAGUUAAGUAUAAAUUAUUAGACAUCUUCUUUUCCUUUGCAGUAGUAACUCAUGAAUAUUAUUUUAUCUACAACCGGUAAUUCUAAUAGGGGAUUAGGUGGUGAUGCCUUCUUCGUCUCAGGAAAUGCUGGGCCUACUUUUUGAUCAUGAAGAACAAAGAUAAAUAUGCAUUUGCCACUUUACUAGCUUAGAUAAUGUUUUCUAUUUCACAUAACGAUGUUUUGCUUCUGUAAGAAAAAACAGGGGUAAAGGGUAGUCAUGUAUUGUGAUUCAGUGAUGCAACGCUAGAGGCUUAAUUCUCCUGGCCAUUGCACUUUAGUUCAAAGCAUUCGGCCGGGCAACUAGGCGACCAACUAUUUCUCCAAAUUCUAAAGUUGUGCGUAUAUACUACAGAAAACACAUAAACACUUCUUCAGGAACUUCAAAUUGUCAUUUUUUGCUUAUUAUCUUCCUUUAACUUCAGAAAGUAUAAAAGACACAUGUAGCUGCCAUUUGGGUUUCUUUGUUCAGGAAAAGAAAGACUUCCAUUUAGUUUGAGAUAGCACAUUUUAGAAUGCCGCAAGUUGGCAUUUGAGUUUUUUUUGUGUGGUUUGUACCAAUGUAAUGAAGCACCUGUUUCACUGAAUUCUUAGCUGCAUAACACCUUCUGUUUUACACAAGAAAAUGUAGAUUUUCUCAAGAAAGGGGAUGAACGCAUCUUGAAUUCCGUCCGUUGUUCUCUAUUUCUGGAGUAGCAGCAUAUUCGAUUCCUUUCGGUGAUUUAGACGGAAAAGGAUUGGGUCUAGAGGAUGUUUUUUUCAUUGCGCUCAACUUAUAGAGCUAGAAGAUAAAAACGAAUACCUGAUGCGUCAAGUCAAACGAUUGCUAAACUUAGAACCAAAGUUGUAUCUCUAAAAUUGUUGUGCAUUCUGUAGUACCCGUAUGGUUGUUUAUAGCCUAUUCGAUUUUGUUGUUUGAUCUCUUUUGCAACACCAGGUGUUAUCUGGUUGGUUAGACUAAUAUGUCUAUUUUGUGCUGGUUCCGGUAA